GUCUUUUUUUGGAAGGCAUUUAUUAUUCUACAUAUUAUAAGGUUUUUUUUUCAUAUAUAUAUUUAUAAGUCACCCCCUCCCACCCCAUGCCAUACUAACCAUACCAUAUCAUCAUUCUCUACAUUCUCAUCAUCAUUAUCAUCCUUCAUCUCUUUUUCUCUCUCUCCUCUCUCCUUCUCUCUCUCAACCCCCUUGAAGAUAGGCGAUGCUCUUGGGGGACAGAGAGAUAAAAGAGAUCAGAGAAACAAACACACACAUACAUAAAAAGAGAUACACUCAUUCAUGGAUAAAUUAUUGUAGCUAGGGUUUCGAAGAUGUUGAAGGAGAAGAGGAGCUUUAGCUUUUGAGGGGAAUGUUGUCUGGCUCGAGGACACUUUCCUUGAUCUAUAAUCUCUGGAUCAACAACCGUUAUAUACCUAUACAUAUAUCUAUAUAUGUGUAUGUGUUUGUAUAUGUUGUGUGUAUCAUCUGCAUACAUAGAUGAUCAGGUUAAGUAGUGUCGUCGGACCAGGCUUCAUUCCCCCCAAUUCAUGGCUUCCGAUCCAUACGGAGACCUUUUUUCCAGGGCAGAUGGGUUCUUCAUCUGAAGAUUGGUGUAAUGAGGAGUAUCUUGACUACUUUUGUUUUUCAUCGACUUCGCAUAAAAGGUUUGAUGAUUGCUGGAUCUCCUUUUCAUUUAUUUUUGUUCUUGUUUGAAUCAUCAUGCUGUGAUGAUUGUAGCCUAAUGAUGCCUUCCAGUAUCUGAUCUGUCUGCUUCUGCCAUUUUUUCAGAUCUGCCCCCCUUUUUAUUAUUUUUGUUCAUUAAAAAAAAUAACUUUGGUAGACAUUCCCUCCUCUCUUUCACGUUAUAAUUCUCUCUCUUAGGGUUUCGUGGGUCUAGAUUUAUUAAGCUACGAUAUAUCUAAACAAAUCUUUUAGAAAAUAGCAAAUUAAUUUUAUGCUUAGGAGAACAAGCAAAAAAAUGACACCCUUUCUGACACUGUUCAAAUGCCUAUUUUCAUCUGUCAAAAAUAUAUAAAUAUAAAAUUAGCUUCCCUGAACACCCAUCUGUUUCGGACUCUUAAUCUAACGCUAUUAGUCAGUAAUCCUUUUGCAGUCUUGAUUAUAAAGUAUAAUAAUGCAUAAAUAGAUUAGUACUUUCCUAUUUUCUCAGAUCAGUCUAUUAUUCUCACACUUUUACCUGUUAGCUUUGAUAAUGUUUCUGUUAGACAUCUCAUGUAUCUUGAACUUGUUUCUUUCCAAAUGUGAUGAGCAUAUGAAAAUGUAGGUUCAGCAGAAAGUACGAAUACUAUAACCUUGGGAAAGUGCUUGUCCAAAAGGAAAUCUGUUCACUUGCCUUUUCCUUUAGAUUAUUUUCUUUACCAAUUGACACCAAUUUGAAACCCUAAUAUUGUUUAUCUUGGAGUUACUGUGAAUGUUGUGAACUUGUGUUUGUCAAAGCUUUAGUCCCCCACAAUGAUUUAACUCCACCUUGGUUUUUGCCCUUUAUUAUGGCUUUAUAUGACUAAACUGCGGUUGUUCAAAGAGUCAAUGGAGCUUAAUUAGAACCCAACCAGCGCUGAAAACUAAAGGUGAGUAGUUUGAUUGUAUGAACAUUUCUUUUUUGUUUCAGUAAUUUAUAUACUAGACAAGAAAAGUUGUGCAGGUAUCCAUGAUGCUCCAUCAAGUUUCAAAGUAUCAUUAACUAAUUUGAUCAAUUGUUUGUGAGAAUUUUCUCAAGUUUAAGAAUUCCCUUUGUAUUCUUGAAGGGCAGCUGAUUAAUCCCAGAUUUAAAAAUGUUUUUGGUUGUAGAGGAGGAUUUCAAACCCUUGCUGGAUUAACCCAGUGGUUUAAUCCCAGACUUAAAUUGAUGCGUAAUCAGUCUAGUGUAAUUUGUAUCUCCUUUAAUAACUUUCCUUCAUAUUUGCAUCUAUAAUUUGCUACUUGAGAACCUCCCAAAUGAAUAGAGAGAAUUAAAAAGUUGAAUACAAGGUUCUGGAAGAAGAGUUGUCAUGGCUUCUAAGAACACACAUGGUAGAUGCCACUGCUCUAAUGUAAAAUCCAAGGAAACCUCUCUUUCUCUCUCUCUCUCUCUCUCUCUCUCAUUACACACACUCAGAAAGACCAUCACAUUCAUCUUCAGAUGCUUGAUAUUAUUAAUAGGGUCCUUAUUAAUACAUGGGGUCUGCUUGUGUCCCUCCUUUUAGAAUUUUACUGUUAGUUUCCCUCUCACAAAACCCUACUUGUAAGAAAAGUCAAUCCGUGAAAAAAGCAGCUGGUUUGGAAUCAAGGAAGCAAUCUCAAAUGCUAGCAAUCAAUUACUUUUCUUGUGGCUGCAAUCACAAAUCUAUUUCCUUGUUUUCAUUGCUUGAUGCUUCUCCUUUUUCGUGACCCUUCUUAGUUAGUGUUAAUUUCCCCGGAAAGGGAUUAAGAUUAACGUAUGAAUGCCGACUCACUGUCACAAGAGUUCCUUUUGGGAAAUUGAAUCUUUUUUGACCUUUGCAAACAUAAAAGUAAAGCCUUUAUUAUUGCUUUCUUUGUGCCCAAAACUUUCCCCACACCCACAGACACAGAGAAAGAAGAAGGAGAUGAGGUUGGAGUCAUCAGCUGUCCUUUAGGGCGAGCUCCAAUGAAAGCUUUUUGUGCAUGGCCACAACUUUCGAUGAAUAAUUGCGGUGUGAUUGUUCCACUUGACCAAGACUUCUUAGGUUUUAGUUAAUUCGGUAAGCUUUGGUAUAGGAGUACUUUGGAUUAUUGUUCCUAGCUAUAUAGCUAGCUAUUAGAUCGAUGUGCAUGGGAAGUUUGGGCUAUUGGUCCUAGCGGAUGGGAACUUGUGGUGGACCUCGUAUUCGUAAUAGCGCCAUACAAAUAUAGGUGCUGUGGUACUACUUACAGUUGUUCGAACUUAUUAAAUCCUCAUUGAGUCAUGAAUUGGUAAUAGGGUAAUAAUUGGAGACCACCUGUGUAUCAUGACAUCACGUGUGUAUUCUCACAUGUAUUGUGAUGUGAAAGUUAUAGAACACUCCAACUUCUCUUGAA
Pyrus x bretschneideri (Chinese white pear) is the source of this 3018-nucleotide long non-coding RNA. RefSeq lists it as uncharacterized. The record is from RefSeq and is a predicted model, not a curated record. The transcript has 2 exons. NCBI's taxonomy places the organism in Eukaryota, Viridiplantae, Streptophyta, Magnoliopsida, Rosales, Rosaceae.